AACACUAGAUCGAUAACAUCGACAGCAGAGCUGUAUCCCGCACAGUGACCAACAAAGCUGUCCAGCGAAUGGAUGCCACUUUCUUCAUAGGUCUAAUGGACAACGUACGUUGAAGCGCUACAAACAUAUGCAAGAUGAAAUGACAAUGACAAUCGUACAUGAUCUUAUUUGCUGAGUGAAAUUAGUUUUGGUAAAAGAAUCAAACAUUGUUGAACUUGUGGAUAGUAAUGUCAUGUGUAUAAAUAAUGAAAGUGGUUAAAGGAAUUCAGUAUAUUUCUAUAUUGUGUUUUCUACUUACAAGUCUAUACAUCAUCCUAGACAAGCACGUUUUUUUAGAAACACGACCCCUAGUAUACUCAACUGGGCUAACAAAAGCACAACACAAUUCCACGAUCAAUAGGACUACUGACAGACUUGAUGGUGAAGGCACAAAUAGUUCUAAUGGGUCUAGGCCUAUUCCACCUACGCGUGUAUCGAUGGUAUUGACAUUGAAUGAGAGUGCGCGUCUGCAAACGUCAACUCCGUUAGAUGAUGUUCGAACUUCAUACGUUAAAUUGAGAGAUAAGGACACCUGUCUGGCGGGAUUCGAACGCAACACCUGGCUGUCAAGACGGGUAUCAUACCGUACCGUUUAGACCACAGAGAUCUACAGGAUAUACAUGCAGUUCUACUCCACACACACUUUAC
Molecule: long non-coding RNA, 687 nt
Organism: Anneissia japonica
Lineage: Eukaryota; Metazoa; Echinodermata; Crinoidea; Comatulida; Comatulidae
Exons: 3
Source: RefSeq, a predicted model, not a curated record